This 253-nucleotide ribosomal RNA is filed under the name uncultured bacterium. RNAcentral describes it as "partial 16S ribosomal RNA". It matches the Rfam family "Bacterial small subunit ribosomal RNA", at positions 524 to 776 of the family's 1533-position model. The record is from RNAcentral.
UACGUAGGAGGCAAGCGUUGUCCUGAAUCACUGGGCGUAAAGCGCGUGUAGGCGGCCACUUAAGUCCUGCGUGAAAUCUUGCGGCUCAACCGCAAGCGGUCGUGGGAAACUGGGUGGCUAGAGUGCGGGAGAGGAGAGUGGAAUUCCUGGUGUAGCGGUGGAAUGCGCAGAUAUCAGGAGGAACACCGGUGGCGAAGGCGGGUCUCUGGGCCGAUACUGACGCUGAGGAGCGAAAGCGUGGGGAGCGAACAGG